AGAAUUGCUUAAAAUUCUUCUGUUGCUCUCCCUGCACAGUGGAGACACUGUUUGUGGUUUGGAGAGCAUAGCGACAGUUUGAAGCUGUUGUACCAGUUCGGAGUAUAUAUAUAUCUCUGUAAUGCAGUGUGCUUUCUUAUCUUGAAGAGCAUGUGUUAAAACAGUUGAGGGUGAUAUCUAAAAUCUUCACCAGCCAUGCUGUACAAGAAACGACCCAUCUGAACGGAUAUUCCACUGAUCAUAAGGAACACCAUACUGCAAGCCAUUAAAGAGGCAGCAGCUACCCAGAGCAUGGAGAGUGGCCCUGCCGAGCUCCUUCUCCAGGAACUAUACUCAGCAUCUCAGCCUCAAGUCACCAUGGUUUUGAAUUGUGUCUACAUUAAGAGUGAGAAGAGUACUUGCCAGUUUGAUCAGGAGUGGGAAAGGAGAUGGAGGAGGAGUAGAAGGACAAGGGCAGCAUUUUGCAAUUUUUCGAAAUAUGUGUGCAGCUCAUCUCUCUAGAAACAAAAGUACUAAUAAUGCCUAUCUCAAGGCACCUAUGAGCAUUUAUGGAGAUAAUGUCGUAAGUACUUUGAAUUUUUUCUUUAUAAUUUCUAAAAUAGAAAUAGCUUGUUUUAUUUGAUGAUAAAGAAUACCUGCCAUUAUAAUUUUGAUGCAUAAUUUUCAACACUACUCAUGCUUAAAGAGAAAAAAUUACUAAAAGAAUGGGAUUCUAGGAGUUUCUGUCAUGGCUCAGGGGUUAAUGAACUCCACUAGUAACCAUGAGGAUACAGGUUCCAUUCCUGUCCUCUCUCAGCAGGUUAAGGAUCUGGCAUUGCCGUAAGCUGUGGUGUAAGUAAUAGAUGCAGCUUGGAUCUCUCGUGGCUGUGGCUGUGGUAUAAACCAGCAACUACAACUCUGAUUUGACCCCUAGCCUGGGAACCUCCAUAUGUCCUGGGUGCAGCCCUAAAAAG
RNAcentral lists this long non-coding RNA (953 nucleotides) under Sus scrofa (pig). Its description in RNAcentral is "lncRNA (ENSSSCG00000061675.1)". Lineage: Eukaryota; Metazoa; Chordata; Mammalia; Artiodactyla; Suidae. The record is from RNAcentral.